RNAcentral lists this ribosomal RNA (484 nucleotides) under uncultured bacterium. Its description in RNAcentral is "partial 16S ribosomal RNA". It matches the Rfam family "Bacterial small subunit ribosomal RNA", at positions 30 to 507 of the family's 1533-position model. The record is from RNAcentral.
AUUGAACGCUGGCGGCAGGCCUAACACAUGCAAGUCGAGCGGAUGAAGGGAGCUUGCUCCUGGAUUCAGCGGCGGACGGGUGAGUAAUGCCUAGGAAUCUGCCUGGUAGUGGGGGAUAACGUCCGGAAACGGGCGCUAAUACCGCAUACGUCCUGAGGGAGAAAGUGGGGGAUCUUCGGACCUCACGCUAUCAGAUGAGCCUAGGUCGGAUUAGCUAGUUGGUGGGGUAAAGGCCUACCAAGGCGACGAUCCGUAACUGGUCUGAGAGGAUGAUCAGUCACACUGGAACUGAGACACGGUCCAGACUCCUACGGGAGGCAGCAGUGGGGAAUAUUCGACAAUGGGCGAAAGCCUGAUCCAGCAAUGCCGCGUGUGUGAAGAAGGUCUUCGGAUUGUAAAGCACUUUAAGUUGGGAGGAAGGGAAGUAAGUUAAUCCCUUGCUGUUUUGACGUUACCAACAGAAUAAGCAACGGCUAACUUCGUG